This 1491-nucleotide ribosomal RNA is filed under the name metagenome. RNAcentral's name for it is "bacterial SSU rRNA". It matches the Rfam family "Bacterial small subunit ribosomal RNA". The record is from RNAcentral.
AGAGUUUGAUCCUGGCUCAGAUUGAACGCUGGCGGCAUGCCUUACACAUGCAAGUCGAACGGCAGCACGGGAGCUUGCACCUGGUGGCGAGUGGCGAACGGGUGAGUAAUAUAUCGGAACGUACCCUAGAGUGGGGGAUAACGUAGCGAAAGUUACGCUAAUACCGCAUACGAUCUACGGAUGAAAGUGGGGGAUCGCAAGACCUCAUGCUCAUGGAGCGGCCGAUAUCUGAUUAGCUAGUUGGUGGGGUAAAAGCCUACCAAGGCGACGAUCAGUAGCUGGUCUGAGAGGACGACCAGCCACACUGGAACUGAGACACGGUCCAGACUCCUACGGGAGGCAGCAGUGGGGAAUUUUGGACAAUGGGGGCAACCCUGAUCCAGCAAUGCCGCGUGAGUGAAGAAGGCCUUCAGGUUGUAAAGCUCUUUUGUCAGGGAAGAAACGGGAUUUUCUAAUACAAAGUCCUAAUGACGGUACCUGAAGAAUAAGCACCGGCUAACUACGUGCCAGCAGCCGCGGUAAUACGUAGGGUGCAAGCGUUAAUCGGAAUUACUGGGCGUAAAGCGUGCGCAGGCGGUUGUGCAAGACAGAUGUGAAAUCCCCGGGCUCAACCUGGGAAUUGCAUUUGUGACUGCACGGCUAGAGUGUGUCAGAGGGGGGUAGAAUUCCACGUGUAGCAGUGAAAUGCGUAGAGAUGUGGAGGAAUACCGAUGGCGAAGGCAGCCCCCUGGGAUAACACUGACGCUCAUGCACGAAAGCGUGGGGAGCAAACAGGAUUAGAUACCCUGGUAGUCCACGCCCUAAACGAUGUCUACUAGUUGUCGGGUCUUAAUUGACUUGGUAACGCAGCUAACGCGUGAAGUAGACCGCCUGGGGAGUACGGUCGCAAGAUUAAAACUCAAAGGAAUUGACGGGGACCCGCACAAGCGGUGGAUGAUGUGGAUUAAUUCGAUGCAACGCGAAAAACCUUACCUACCCUUGACAUGUACGGAACUUACCAGAGAUGGUUUGGUGCUCGAAAGAGAACCGUAACACAGGUGCUGCAUGGCUGUCGUCAGCUCGUGUCGUGAGAUGUUGGGUUAAGUCCCGCAACGAGCGCAACCCUUGUCAUUAGUUGCUACGAAAGGGCACUCUAAUGAGACUGCCGGUGACAAACCGGAGGAAGGUGGGGAUGACGUCAAGUCCUCAUGGCCCUUAUGGGUAGGGCUUCACACGUCAUACAAUGGUACAUACAGAGGGCCGCCAACCCGCGAGGGGGAGCUAAUCCCAGAAAGUGUAUCGUAGUCCGGAUUGUAGUCUGCAACUCGACUACAUGAAGUUGGAAUCGCUAGUAAUCGCGGAUCAGCAUGUCGCGGUGAAUACGUUCCCGGGUCUUGUACACACCGCCCGUCACACCAUGGGAGCGGGUUUCACCAGAAGUAGGUAGCCUAACCGCAAGGAGGGCGCUUACCACGGUGGGAUUCGUGACUGGGGUGAAGUCGUAACAAGGUA